UAGUACUGCCAUUGACAAAUCGUUUAUACGACCGAAUCAUACCACAACUAUUCAAACAGAAGACUCUUCUUUGGAAAAUGUUGAAACCACAAGCAAUGACACAUGUAAAACUUGUGAAAGAUCUAUCACGAAUCCAUUGGUGAAGGCAGGAUUAGUAGAUAAGGACCUUCAUGAUAUUCUAGUUCUAGAGGAUAGCAUUUAGUCAGCCAAACCAAAUAACAAAAGGUUAACAGGUGCACGCAUCUACACUGGCCAAGAAAUGCGAGAUGAACUGAAAAGAAAGGCAGAGGAACAAAAAGAAAAAGAAGAUGGUCUAAAAUAUCGUAAAGAAGUCAGAGAAGCUAAAAGGAUAGAAAAACAAAAUGUCAUUAAAAUGAAGCAAUCAAAAGAAAAGCGAAAUCAACAAAAACUACCACAGAAGGAAGAAAAAUAAAUAAAAAAUCUAAUCAAUAUGAAGCAAGUAGGCAGCAUGUAGAUCCUCACAUUAUCGCAGUUACUGCUGAGGUACAUGCAGAUAUAAAGACAACCGAGGAAUCUGACAGUUUAGAGCAAAUUAAAUUGUGUAGGCCAAGAGUACAGAAAGCUAACAAAAAAUUCAGAGAAAUAGAA
Molecule: long non-coding RNA, 609 nt
Filed under: Mytilus galloprovincialis (Mediterranean mussel)
Lineage: Eukaryota; Metazoa; Mollusca; Bivalvia; Mytilida; Mytilidae
Source: RNAcentral